This 253-nucleotide ribosomal RNA is filed under the name uncultured bacterium. RNAcentral's name for it is "partial 16S ribosomal RNA". It matches the Rfam family "Bacterial small subunit ribosomal RNA", at positions 524 to 776 of the family's 1533-position model. The record is from RNAcentral.
UACAGAGGUGUCAAACGUUGUCCGGAAUUACUGGGCGUAAAGGGCUCGUAGGCGGCCAACUAAGUCAGACGUGAAAUCCCUCGGCUUAACCGGGGAACUGCGUCUGAUACUGGAUGGCUUGAGUUUGGGAGAGGGAAGCGGAAUUUCCGGUGUAGCGGUGAAAUGCGUAGAUAUCGGAAGGAACAUCAGUGGCGAAAGCGGCUUCCUGGACCAGUACCGACGUUCAGGCACGAAAGCGUGGGGAGCAAACAGG